This 161-nucleotide ribosomal RNA is filed under the name [Acremonium] cucurbitacearum. RNAcentral's name for it is "Acremonium cucurbitacearum 5.8S ribosomal RNA". It matches the Rfam family "5.8S ribosomal RNA". From Rfam's summary of the family: 5.8S ribosomal RNA (5.8S rRNA) is a component of the large subunit of the eukaryotic ribosome. It is transcribed by RNA polymerase I as part of the 45S precursor that also contains 18S and 28S rRNA. RNAcentral also lists the same sequence under 1 other name. Lineage: Eukaryota; Fungi; Ascomycota; Sordariomycetes; Hypocreales; Bionectriaceae. The record is from RNAcentral.
CUUUUAACAACGGAUCUCUUGGCUCCAGCAUCGAUGAAGAACGCAGCGAAACGCGAUAUGUAAUGUGAAUUGCAGAAUUCAGUGAAUCAUCGAAUCUUUGAACGCACAUGGCGCCUUCCAGUAUCCUGGGAGGCAUGCCUGUCCGAGCGUCGUUUCAACCC